RNAcentral lists this long non-coding RNA (1754 nucleotides) under Malus domestica (apple). Its description in RNAcentral is "long non-coding RNA (MDOM_LNC001372)". The record is from RNAcentral. Lineage: Eukaryota; Viridiplantae; Streptophyta; Magnoliopsida; Rosales; Rosaceae.
UGGUGUCUAGGCGGGCGUCUAAACGGAUCUAAGCGUUCUUUUUUAAUUUUCAAACGCUUAAAAAUUAAUCAAGACGGUAGUUAACCGUCUAGCACCUAAGUAAAACUUAGACGGCGUUCGGUAAAGAUUUUUAAAACAAGGCCUGAUGCAAUCCCCCUCCUCAUUUGCGUCUAUAUCAGUGAAACCCAGGCCAGCUGUUUUCAUUCCUCCAAAUCAUAAAUUUCGACGGAAAAAAUGGAAUCAAAAUCCGUAUCUUUGAUUAGGUCAAAGUCUUCCACAAGAAAAUAUAAUAAUUUCAUUCAACGAAGGCGUUCGUCCACGCUUCAGAUUCGAGGAAACUUCAUUGCCUUUCUUUCCUUGCCUUCCACGUAUGUCACGUUCCCGCUAACGGACAAAGGGGAAUUGAAUUUCUUGCAACCUAAAACAUUUUUUUUUUUUUUUGAGAACUGCAACCUAAAACUUUGGUAAAUUAUAUUUUAACUUACAAGCAUGCGGUUUCCCAACAUCACCACCAGUGACAAUUGACUGCUGGAAUACCCCUUCAAUGAAAUCACGACAUCUGUUCUAUUAAUAAAUCUAGAAGGUUUAUCUUUUAAAAAAUUAAUUAAUUAAAAACUAAAACUGAAAGAUUCAAAUACAAAAUAUGCAGGCCAUACAACCCCUCUCCGGCGAGACACGCCAACCCCAAUCUCGUCCAAAUCUGGUACCACUCCACCUCCCUCUCUUCCUCUUCCUCAUAGACGAAGAACAACAGGCAGAGAGUGGCGGAUGGAGUUUCUCCAAUCGAUAACCCGCCGACGCUAUAUGCCCCCGCUGGAACCCAUGUGGACCAUCUUCCUCGUCGUCAUCUUCAUCAGCCUGAUGUUCGAGUUUUUCUUUGACGAGAAAACUUUGCUCCUUGCUGGGUUUUUUUGUGAUGGGUAUGAAACUGCGAGGCCGACGAGCACAGGAGCCGACUCACUGAGUUAAUGGUGGCGCGAGUUAGCGAUUAUAGUGGGGGUUGAGAGAUUCGAUGACUCAAUUUUUUCCAAGAAUAUAUGGCCAAAUUUGCGUUCUUCUUUUCCCGUAUUUGAGAAAGAAGGAUGAAAUAGAAAUUGCGAGGAGGACGGAUCGGACGCCGGGUGGGGGGAGCUGUGGGUUGUUGGCGCGACUGUCGAAUUGUUUUGUUUUAGUUUUUAUUUUAAUUGAAUUUCUUAAAAAAAAUUAAAUCAGAUAGAUUCUUUAUUGGGGCACGUGGCAUCUCCGAUUAGAUGUGUACACAUAUAUUAAAGUCAACUGGUUGGGAUUCUGAUCUUCAUCUCAUAUCCCUAUGUAAAACUAAAACCUAAUUCAAAAACGAAAACGAAAAUACUCGGUUCCUUUAUAUGUAUGUAAGAAGUCACACUUUUUUAUAAAUAAAUUACAAUUUGAUAUGCGAGCAUAAAUUUCUUUUUUUACGGUUUUAAUAAGUAAAAUAUUAUCAUUAGAGGCUUAAAAUAUUAUUAAUUUACGUGUCAAACUGCAAUUGUAUGUAUCGAGAAAAAGUGACGGAAGUAAGCAAGUGCAAAUAAAAAACUGUGAAUAUGAGUUAACAGCUAAGUGAUAGGUACAACCCCACAAGAAUUGGUGGGUUUUUUACACUUUCCCCAUUGACCAUAAAUUUUUAAAGUCCUCCCCCACUAAAACUCCAAACCAUUUGUGACCCUGCAAUGAUUCUGGAAAAUCCCCCAAUUUCUAACGUCUAUUUAGAUUCAAUUUCAUAUCCCAUACAAAGG